This 207-nucleotide unclassified non-coding RNA is filed under the name Fraxinus excelsior (European ash). Its description in RNAcentral is "partial external transcribed spacer". Lineage: Eukaryota; Viridiplantae; Streptophyta; Magnoliopsida; Lamiales; Oleaceae. The record is from RNAcentral.
UCGUCAUCUCGCUUUCGGUUCCCUGUGUUGCAUACCUUCGCGACGGUAUCCUGUCGGCUAGAAUCGCCCCGUUUCACCCGACGUUGCGAGUAACAUCGCGACCGAAGGCGAACCGAAAAGCAUUCAUCGCGUUCCACCCCGUUCGCGUUACGCGCUGCGGGGACCGGCCCACGAUGACGUGCUCGAAUUCUCGGAUGCGGAACACAA